This is a long non-coding RNA of Galeopterus variegatus (Sunda flying lemur), 688 nucleotides long. RefSeq lists it as uncharacterized. The record is from RefSeq and is a predicted model, not a curated record. Lineage: Eukaryota; Metazoa; Chordata; Mammalia; Dermoptera; Cynocephalidae. The transcript is spliced from 2 exons.
ACUGGGAGAGGGAGGCAGGGUUCGGUUCAGUCGCCGUCCCGCGCGCCGGCGCCGCGGCCUUCGGCCCGGCGGUGGAGUCGCGGGGCGCGUGAUGGGAAGGCUGAGGUGGUGUUCGACGCAGGGCUCCGCCCUUGCUGAGCUCGUGGAAAGGUGUUUGAAAAUGAGGGAGCCACAAAGGGACAGAUGCUCCUUGGUUUGGAAAAUUUGGGAUUGGAAUGAGAAGGAAGAUGCAUGAAGAGUAUACCUCACAUUGUGCUGCGGAGAGAACCACUUACUGCUGUCAUAGAUGCCUCUAUUUAUUUUCAUUGUGUCCCUCAAGGUGUUUAAAUUUUGAUAAAGAGAAAUCCAUUUCUCUCCAUUUUAGAGGAAAUGAUGAACUAGCUUUGUCCUAAUGGGAGAUGUGGACAGAGAAACCCUCUGUCACUGAUAUCUUUUGUGUGAGAUGAGAUUGUGAGAUCACAUUUUGCCUCUUUCCUACUGCCCCUCCAUCCUGUAUAAUGUUUAUGUCUGGUUCUGACAAUCUCAUUAUCAGAACUUUCAACAUAUGGAAUGAGAAAGAAAAAAAUGACCACCACAGGAUCAAAUUUCACUUCUAAUCUGGGGAAAAUAGGAGUCUGCUUUUCAAAACUUUUUAAUUUUUAUGUAUUUUAUUUAUUUUUUUUCAAAGUAAAAGUUAUUAAAAGAAUAA